Molecule: long non-coding RNA, 772 nt
Filed under: Rattus norvegicus (Norway rat)
Lineage: Eukaryota; Metazoa; Chordata; Mammalia; Rodentia; Muridae
Description: long non-coding RNA NONRATT018026
Source: RNAcentral
GACCAAAGCCAUCAGCUUCAGGCAACAGGGGCUCUGAGAGGAGCAAGCAUCAAUGACACGGGAGGGAGACAGAGCCAGCGUGUCCAUGUGUCAUUGAACGGUCACAGCUACUAACCUCCAGCGCAAAGAAAGGGGACGGAAGAAGCAUCAGAUUUGACCCUACUGCUUCUCACAACUGAUGGCAACAUAACCGACCUCCGUGUGCCUUAUCCACGGCCCUUACUGCCGAAGUUUCUGGCUCGUCUGUCACUGGACAAUGCACUUACCUUCCAGGAAAGUUUCCAUCAAAGAAAUUUCCCAAAAUCAAAAUGUUUAAGACCUUUCUUCCCCUUGUACUAAUCGAACACACACUCUUUGGCCUUGGCCAACACACUUUGGUGACACCAGAACACAGACGCAGAAACCAUCGAUGACCGGGAGACUGUGGAAUGUGGCGUCAUGGACCACACAUGCAAACGGAUAGCAACUGAAGACACUUAGCACAUCUCAUGUGUGACAGACAGAUGCAGAUGUUUAUAAACAAGUGAUCACGUGGUAACGGGAUGGAACUGGCUCUGAGCCUGGCUCACCCUGGCUACAUCCGUGGAAAUUUCUCUGAUGGAGAGUGAAGUUCUAAAAGCCAACAUAAUUGAGCCAAGGAGCUGCCGAUUGCUCAGCCAGUCCCAACAAUAGAACUCAGCACGAUCCAUCGGCCACUUCUGAAGCUACUCUGCCUGCUGACAGUGGCUAGGUCCUGACAGCUUUAGGAAAUUAAAUUUCUGAUUUAAUUAAG